UACAGAGGUCCCAAGCGUUGUUCGGAUUCACUGGGCGUAAAGGGUGCGUAGGUGGUGAGGUAAGUCGGAUGUGAAAUCUCGGAGCUCAACUCCGAAACUGCAUUGGAAACUACCUUGCUCGAGGAAUGGAGGGGGGACUGGAAUUCUUGGUGUAGCAGUGAAAUGCGUAGAUAUCAAGAGGAACACCAGUGGCGAAGGCGAGUCCCUGGACAUCUCCUGACACUGAGGCACGAAAGCUAGGGGAGCAAACAGG
This 253-nucleotide ribosomal RNA is filed under the name uncultured bacterium. RNAcentral describes it as "partial 16S ribosomal RNA". It matches the Rfam family "Bacterial small subunit ribosomal RNA", at positions 524 to 776 of the family's 1533-position model. The record is from RNAcentral.